This is an unclassified non-coding RNA of Junco hyemalis (dark-eyed junco), 182 nucleotides long. The record is from Ensembl. NCBI's taxonomy places the organism in Eukaryota, Metazoa, Chordata, Aves, Passeriformes, Passerellidae.
UUAACAGCUCAAGAAACCAAAGUCCUCUCUUUUUUACCAACAAAAUAAGUUCAGCAAGGGUGUGAAGAACACAAGCUUCCCCCACACUGCUCGAGCAAUGUGCCUCAACCCUGACCUGAGAGCAAAUCUCUGAGGGAAAAGGCGUUUGUUAAAUUUCUUUUCCAAUUAAUUUGACAGCUCUG